UACGUAGGGUGCAAGCGUUGUCCGGAAUUAUUGGGCGUAAAGAGCUCGUAGGCGGUUUGUCGCGUCUGCUGUGAAAACCGGAGGCUCAACCUCCGGCCUGCAGUGGGUACGGGCAAACUAGAGUGCGGUAGGGGAGAUUGGAAUUCCUGGUGUAGCGGUGGAAUGCGCAGAUAUCAGGAGGAACACCGAUGGCGAAGGCAGGUCACUGGGCCGCAACUGACGCUGAGGAGCGAAAGCAUGGGGAGCGAACAGG
Molecule: ribosomal RNA, 253 nt
Filed under: uncultured bacterium
Lineage: Bacteria
Description: partial 16S ribosomal RNA
Rfam family: Bacterial small subunit ribosomal RNA
Source: RNAcentral